Enterococcus saccharolyticus is the source of this 72-nucleotide transfer RNA. It matches the Rfam family "tRNA". From Rfam's summary of the family: Transfer RNA (tRNA) molecules are approximately 80 nucleotides in length. Their secondary structure includes four short double-helical elements and three loops (D, anti-codon, and T loops). Further hydrogen bonds mediate the characteristic L-shaped molecular structure. tRNAs have two regions of fundamental functional importance: the anti-codon, which is responsible for specific mRNA codon recognition, and the 3' end, to which the tRNAs corresponding amino acid is attached (by aminoacyl-tRNA synthetases). tRNAs cope with the degeneracy of the genetic code in two manners: having more than one tRNA (with a specific anti-codon) for a particular amino acid; and 'wobble' base-pairing, i.e. permitting non-standard base-pairing at the 3rd anti-codon position. The record is from Rfam. Lineage: Bacteria; Bacillati; Bacillota; Bacilli; Lactobacillales; Enterococcaceae.
GCACCUUUAGUGUAGUGGAUAUCACGCAAGAUUCCGGUUCUUGAGACAGGGGUUCGAUUCCCUUAAGGUGCG